Molecule: ribosomal RNA, 261 nt
Filed under: uncultured bacterium
Lineage: Bacteria
Description: partial 16S ribosomal RNA
Rfam family: Bacterial small subunit ribosomal RNA
Source: RNAcentral
GUCCAUGCCGUAAACGAUGAUUACUAGGUGUGGGAGAUUGACCCUCUCCGUGCCGCAGUUAACACAAUAAGUAAUCCACCUGGGGAGUACGACCGCAAGGUUGAAACUCAAAGGAAUUGACGGGGGCCCGCACAAGCAGUGGAGUAUGUGGUUUAAUUCGAAGCAACGCGAAGAACCUUACCAGGUCUUGACAUCGGAUGCAUAGCUAAGAGAUUAGUGAAGUCUUUCGGGACAUCCAGACAGGUGGUGCAUGGUUGUCGU